UUGAAUAUCAGUAGUGAAAGUGGGUCUUCCAUUUUUUCCUGACUUUAAUGGGAAUAUCUCUUAUGUUUUAUCGUUAAGUAUAAAUUUUUGGUAAGUGCCUUUUAUCAAGUUGUUACAUACCUAUUCCCAUUCUGCUAAAAGUGUUUUCUUUUAAAUCAAAGUAGAUAUCGGAAUUUUUUCAGAAAACAUUUUAUCAGUUGAGAUGAUCAUAUAAUUUAAAACCUCUACAACUAUUUAAUACAAUGAUUUAUAGCAACAGGUUUUCUAAUGUUAAAUCAUUUCUGGGAUAGACCCUUUCUUGUUCUAGAUGGAGUGCAGGAUUGAAUUUACUAAUAUUUUAUUUUAGAGCUUUGUAUCCAUGUGAGUUUGGUGAGUUUAGAACUGAAAGGAUGCAGCUACAAGCCAAAGAAUGCCAAAGAUUGCUGGACAGCACCAGAAACUAGGAAGAGACAAGCAAGGAUUUUAACCCGAGUCUCAGGGGAGCAUGGCCCUGCUGACACUAUUUCAGACUUCUAGCCUUCAGAACUGGGAGAGAAUAAAUAAGUUUUAAGCCGCGUAAGUUGUGGGACUUGGGUAUGGCAGCCCUAGGAAAUUAAAGCGGCAAUUUUAAUUUCUAACUUAUCUUCCUAGCGCCAACAGUGCCAUGUCCACGGUCCAGUUGGGGGCCGUGCAGGCGCUCCAUCCCUUCCCUGCUACAGGGAUGAUGGGCGGGCAGCAGCAGAGGCCGUCAGGAGUCACCAGCCGCUUGUGAGCCCCUGCCGUCAGAGGACGUGCAGCCAAAGCCCAACCAGGGGUUGCCAUUACGACAGAGAGACCCGGGGCUGCACAGAUCACCGAAGGCAGCGAGAUGCUCAAUACAACGCGGGGCGGCCGGGAGACGGGGCCUCGAGGCCCCCGAGGACGCCCGUGGGGGACGGAGGGAAGUUUUUGAGGACCCUGAGUCUGCAAGCCGCUCUCCAGACCACGCUGAACGGCUCCCACACCUGUCCCCAGCUCCACGGCCACCUGUGCCCAGCUCCACGGCCACCGCCCCGACGCUCCUCCAAGUGACCCCAAGAGACUGCGGGCGCCCCACCUACUGACCAGUGACCGCGCGACGCUCUCGAGCCCGCGCGCGCCGCCUCCGCACCUCCCGCCGCAGUACGCAGUUGCGAGGGGCGGAACUUCCUCCCCACGUCCCGGAAACCGGAAGAGACUCUUUUUCCGCCGGAAGGAGAGCGGAGCUGCGAGGGUGGUGAGACCCGGGAGGGUCGGCUUUGUCGCGUGGGGUAUAUGAGCUCUUUGAAAGCAGAGUGCUGUCGUUGCCAUGUUCCAAUCAUUCAGAGGUUACGAAGGCACAGUUCCUGCCUUUGAUUUGCUUAACAGUCGAGUGGAGUAGAGGCAGGUCAUUGGUUGCAGUACAGCCUCUUAAGUGUGCCAAAAGAGAUUUAUCAGCAGGUUGCAGGUGAACAUGGCUUUGAGACUUAUUUUUUCUUCUUCUAGAAGAUGAGAAACAUAUUUAAACAAAGGUUCUUCAUGCUGAAUAAUUGUGAUGCAAGGUCAUCUGCCUUGUUUAAAUUAAGUGGAUUUUAAAUGUCAAAACUAAUUCUAGACCGUUUUUUCUUGGUCAAAUAAACUUUUAUUAAAACUUUAUAUGUGCUGAGUUUUUAUCCAUUUUAUU
RNAcentral lists this long non-coding RNA (1660 nucleotides) under Equus asinus (donkey). RNAcentral's name for it is "lncRNA (ENSEASG00005033111.1)". The record is from RNAcentral. Lineage: Eukaryota; Metazoa; Chordata; Mammalia; Perissodactyla; Equidae.